UAUAUAAUUAAUAAAAACGUUUUUUUACUAAUAUACUAUAAAUGAAGUUAGCAUAAAAUGAUAAAGGUUUUUGAAUACCUUAUGCCGUCUUUGUAUUAAAUCAGUUUUAAUUUGCAAUUCAUCCAGUGAGCGUAGCCCAGCUGGCUACAGUACUUCGACUCGAUUCUUCAAAGCAUCAAUAAAUGGAAUGGCAUUCAAUAUAUUGUUUUAUAUUUAGAAUUAAAAUUUUAUUUAAAUAAAGACAAAUUAAAAAAAAAAUGC
Hydra vulgaris (swiftwater hydra) is the source of this 261-nucleotide long non-coding RNA. RefSeq lists it as uncharacterized. NCBI's taxonomy places the organism in Eukaryota, Metazoa, Cnidaria, Hydrozoa, Anthoathecata, Hydridae. The record is from RefSeq and is a predicted model, not a curated record.